RNAcentral lists this ribosomal RNA (270 nucleotides) under uncultured archaeon. RNAcentral's name for it is "partial 16S ribosomal RNA". It matches the Rfam family "Archaeal small subunit ribosomal RNA", at positions 477 to 747 of the family's 1478-position model. The record is from RNAcentral.
CAGCACCUCAAGUGGUCAGGAUGAUUAUUGGGCCUAAAGCAUCCGUAGCCGGCGCUGUAAGUUUUCGGUUAAAUCUGUACGCUCAACCUACAGGCUGCCGGGAAUACUGCAGCGCUAGGGAGUGGGAGAGGUAGACGGUACUCGGUAGGAAGGGGUAAAAUCCUUUGAUCUAUUGAUGACCACCUGUGGCGAAGGCGGUCUACCAGAACACGUCCGACGGUGAGGGAUGAAAGCUGGGGGAGCAAACCGGAUUAGAUACCCGCGUAGUCC